ACUUCAUCUUCUUCCCAAACAUAACACCCACUCCACUGCCGCCCUCCACCUUACCAACCACAACCUAAAACGUUCAUUUUCAGGGUGCCUGCCCAAUCCGUCAAUGAAAACGAUGCCCCGGAGGAGGUCAAACACAAAGAGGAACAUUAUUGGCAUUCCACAAGACCACAACCCUAAAUUGCAUCAUUCAUUCUAAAAAUUCAAAAUCUUAAGAAAAAAUUGCUCUGAAUUUAUUCUUCUUGGCGAUUCUUUUUUGGCCUCAUCGACUAUUGCCAGUUCAGGAGGCCCAUUCACAAGGCUCAAAUCUGGCUCUGAGCGUGUCUCUGUUUCCAUUGAUAUCUACAAUCAAGGAUUCGGGUGUCGUCAAAUUCCAUCUCUUUUACGGUUUUGCUUAGAUCUGCCAUUAUUUUUUAGUUUCCUAUUAUAGAUUUUUUUUCCUUAAUUGUUUGAUUUGGAAUUUGGAUUGAUUCUGUGUUUUAUAGUUGACGAAUUUGAUUGUGAUUAUUGGAUUCAGGGUUUUGUUGUUUAAUUAAAUUUUAUUCCUUUUAUGAUAAUUAAUGACUUAGUGGGAGAAAUUGAGCUCCUGUAAAUGCCUUACGAGCAAUUGACCUGUCUUUAUUUUUAUUGAUCUUAAUUUAGAUUUUUUGAAUUGUUGCAUGAGUUUUGAUUUGAAAGUUGGAUUUAGGGGGGUGUAUUCAAUUGUGACUUUUAAAGACUUUGGGAGUUUUAAAAAAUUUCGGUGUAUUCAAUUGAGACUUUUAAAGACUCUCUAAAAAUUUGGGUGUAUUCAAUAGAGACUUUUAAAGACUUUUAAAAAGUCUCUAUAAGUUUCGAGGUAUUCAAUUAAAACUUUAUAAGAGUCUCUACAAGUUUCGAGGUAUUCAAUUAAUAAAGACUUUCGGGGAAUUAAUAUUUUCGUAGAAUCUCAGAGACUUUUGGUAGAGAAAGUCCAUAGAAUUCUCACAACACAAAUCUCUCAUCCAACGAGAGAUUUCUCACAAGCCGGCCGAUUGUUCUUCUUCUAGGGUUUCUCCUCCAUCUCUUUCAAUCAGGUAAUCACGAUUUCCACCUCUCUAUCUCUCCCUCUAUGAGUAUUUUGUUUGAUUUAUGGAUAAACUCAUCUCCAAAAUUGCAAACUAGAAGCAAGCAGUUCUGGAGAUUUUUUACCCGCAGGAAAGCACGUUUUCCGGCCUGAAAUUCAACACCCUCGACAAUCUUUAACUAUUUUAUAUAGAGCCACACUUUUCUAUAACCAUAUAAUUUAAUACAUCAACAAACAAAGCUGCGACGUUGAAUUCCUCGAAUCUGGCUGGGGUUAUUAAUGGUUUUAAUGAAAGAUUUUGUCAUAUGUGAGAAACUUUUUCGACGUGUCCAUUCUAAUUAAUAGUGUUAAUUCAAGUCAAAAGACAGCAUCAUUAAUGUGUGUCGAUUUCUUCAAUCUGACUAGAGCUCCAUUAUUUUAUCGUAUUAUUUCUCAAAUUUUGAAUAUUGAGGAGGGUUGUUAUGUAUGUAUGUAUGUGUCUGUGUGUAUAAUAUGUUAUUAUAAUUCAAGUUUUGAAGUUAUGAUCUUUUCACCUGGGGUCAUGAAUUUAUCAUUUUAGUUUAAUGGUUAUGAGUUAAACAUUGUGUGUAUAAUAUGUUAUUAUAAUUCAAGUUUUGAAGUUAUGAUUUUUUCAAUGGAGUUAUGAAUUUAUCAUUUUAGUUUAAUGUUUAUGAGUUAAACAUAUAGAAUUUCAUGGUUAUUAGAUCUAAAAGAUGAGGCUUGAUAAAUCUAAGUGGUAAUUAAUUCUUACCUACUGAACAUAAAGAGAUCACAAAUGAAUCGGUGCAAGGAUAUGGUUGCAAAUUUAAGGUUAAAAGUAAACCAGAUGGCUUCCACAUUGAACAUGUCAAACUUUACAAUUAGGGACAGCUUACUCGGGCCAGAAAUUAAGCCGGCUGAUGCAAUGAGCAGAACAACUGGGCUUGACAACUGUGUGGAUUUUUGGUUUCAUUUAUUAUUUUCAUUUGAAUUCUUGAUUUUUGAUGUGUUGAAUCGAUCCUAAAUAUUCAUUUUGCUAAAUUUUCAUUGAUGUUGUUCAGGUUAUAGAGACUGGUAUGAAACCAGACGGUAUUUAUGGAUGACAAUUCAAGCAAUUCUCUAUGUGAUAAAUGAUCUUGUAAAUAAUAUGCAUUGUGCACGUAUUACACGUUCACUAACUAGACGACCGAAAACUAGAUAUGGAUAUGACUAUAUACAUAAAAUAUUAAAGGAGGAUCCAGAAAACUUUCGACAAGUUUAUAGAAUGUAUCCAGAUAUAUUUCUAAAAUUAAGCAAUAUUAUUAGAGAAAAAACACCCUUACAGGAUACUAGGUAUAUUUGUGUUGAAGAAAUGCUUGCAACGUUCCUACUUAUUGUUGGUCAGAAUACUAGAUAUUGCUUGAUUCGUCAAAAAUUUGGUCGAUCACAUUUCACUACUAGCCGAAGUUUCAACAAGAUUUUACAGACAUUAAACAAAUUUGCGGUAGAUAUGAUGGUCAAACCGAGAUUCGUUGUGCCAGAAAAAAUAAGGGAAAGUACAAGAUUUUAUCCAUACUUUAAAGUAAGUGAUGAAAUAAGACGUAUUAUAAUUUUUCUUUUAUCUUUUCAUUAGUGUUCUCAUGAAUUUGUUGUACUGUUUUAUUAUUUUUUGGAUUGUAUUGGAGCUAUUGAUGGUACCCAUAUUCCAGCAAUGGUAACUGGACGUGAUACAAGCAGUUACAGAAAUCGUCAUGGAACAAUUUCUCAGAAUGUUUUGGCCGGUUGUAACUUUGAUUUGGAAUUUAUAUACGUGAUUAGUGGGUGGGAGGGAUAAGCACAUGAUUCUAAAGUGUUGAGUGAUGCUUUAACAAGAAGAAAUGGACUUAAAGUGCCACAAGGUAAAUAUUUUUUGGGAGACUGUGGAUUUCCAAAUCGACUUCAGUUUUUAACUCCUUUUCGAGGUGUCCGUUAUCAUCUUCAAGAUUUUGCCGGUCAAGGUCGUGACCCUGAAAAUACAAAAGAGUUGUUUAAUCUUCGUCAUGCUUCCUUAAGGAACGUAGUUGAGAGGAUAUUUGGUAUAUUUAAAUCAAGAUUCACAAUU
Long non-coding RNA from Olea europaea var. sylvestris, 3101 nucleotides. RefSeq lists it as uncharacterized. NCBI's taxonomy places the organism in Eukaryota, Viridiplantae, Streptophyta, Magnoliopsida, Lamiales, Oleaceae. The transcript has 2 exons. The record is from RefSeq and is a predicted model, not a curated record.